Triticum aestivum (bread wheat) is the source of this 1284-nucleotide long non-coding RNA. RefSeq lists it as uncharacterized. The record is from RefSeq and is a predicted model, not a curated record. NCBI's taxonomy places the organism in Eukaryota, Viridiplantae, Streptophyta, Magnoliopsida, Poales, Poaceae. The transcript is spliced from 7 exons.
GUCCAUCUCCAAUUCCCCUCGGGCCUGGCCAUAUCUCCAUCUCUCUUCUCCCCCACCACUUCUUCCACCUCAGGCCGCUGCCACGGCGAGGCCGGCGUGGUGGUGCGCCUCCGCAGCCCAGCCACCACCAUCUCCAUCCAUCUCCACUGCGCCACCAUCCACAUCAGCGCCGCUGCGCCAUCCAUUCACCAGCACCACCAUCGCCUCCUGCCACCACUCCACCAGCGCCGCCACCAGCGCCCACCUCGCGAGCCCCUCCUUCUUCCUCUCGACCUCCUACUGCUGCCUUCUCUUCUUCCACGCAACCUGCUGCUGCUCCUUCUUCCUAUUCGCCCCUGCUGCUCUUCUUGCUGAAGCCCUCUUUCCUUGCCCCGCUGCUCCUCCUCCUUCAAUCCCUUUGCCGCUGUUCUUCUCCUUGUCCCUACUACUGCUGCUGAACCGCUCCUCCUCUUGUUGUGUCUCUGCUGCUCGCUGCUACUCUAGCUGCUGCUCCUAGUUCUUCUCUGAACGAAAACUGCUGCUGCUUCUCUCCUCUCUUACUUCUUGCAAAUUUCUGAAAACUGCUAGGAUCAUGUCAAAGAGGAAUUGCCAUCUUUUGUCGUCAUCAUGGUUGCCCCAUGCCGAAAAGUACUCGCGUAGGAAUGGGGCCAGGUCGGCGAAUCGUGAUCAGCGAACUAGAACGUUCGAUGGAACAAACUGGAUGAUCUAUAACUCUUUGAAGUGCGACUAUUUCCAGUUGUGCCACUCCAUUUAAUAAAAAAGUUCAGCUUGCUAUCAUUGGAUUUCUAGAAAGUUGAGAUCAGACAUGGUUGUAUUAAUAUAUUGUCUUUUAGAAGUUAGAAAGAUAAUGGUUGCCUUGCAUAUAAGGGAUAUAAAAUAUAGAAUCUUCCAACUUUGGGAGACAAUGUGUCUUUGAAGGGGAAAGUCUAAACGUUGGACAAAGCAUAUUGGAUUACAAAGUUAUCCAAGCAGCAAGAGGAAGUAGAAAGAUUGGGAGCAGCUAAAGCUUCUUCCACUAUGGGAUCUAAGACAACCAAUGAACAAGGAUCCAAAGAACUAGCUGGACUGUACUCUACAUCAUGGACAGUUUAGUCUUCAUAGUUAAUUAGGAUGGCUAAAUUACAUUUGAGUUUCAUUUGAUGGAUAUUUGCUAUGAGAAUUAUGAAUUUUAUGAAUAUACAUAUCAUACAUAUGGUUUUGAAUAUUGUCACAAUAGUUUCUCGCUACAAAGAUUUCACCUGUUGUGAUACCUAUUUAUCACUACCAAGACAAGUAUGUUGCAAU